UUUAUGGAGAGUUUGAUCCUGGCUCAGGACGAACGCUGGCGGCGUGCCUAAUACAUGCAAGUCGAGCGGAUCGAUGGGAGCUUGCUCCCUGAGAUCAGCGGCGGACGGGUGAGUAACACGUGGGUAACCUGCCUGUAAGACUGGGAUAACUCCGGGAAACCGGGGCUAAUACCGGAUAACACCUACCCCCGCAUGGGGGAAGGUUGAAAGGUGGCUUCGGCUAUCACUUACAGAUGGACCCGCGGCGCAUUAGCUAGUUGG
This 261-nucleotide ribosomal RNA is filed under the name Rossellomorea marisflavi. Its description in RNAcentral is "Bacillus marisflavi partial 16S ribosomal RNA". It matches the Rfam family "Bacterial small subunit ribosomal RNA", at positions 1 to 252 of the family's 1533-position model. The record is from RNAcentral. Lineage: Bacteria; Bacillati; Bacillota; Bacilli; Caryophanales; Bacillaceae.